GCUCGUUAAGCGCAGAAGGACGAAAAGACCCCGGGACCUUUACUAUACCUUGGUAUUGGCAUUCGGUGUGGAUUGUGUAGCAUAGGCGGGAGGCCGAGAGGCGCGGUCGCCAGAUCGCGCGGAGCCGUAAGGUGAAAUACCGCUCUGUUCGCAUUGGAUGUCUAACCUCGAACAGUCAUCCUGUUCAGGGACAGUGCCUGGCGGGUAGUUUAACUGGGGCGGUUGCCUCCCAAAGAGUAACGGAGGCGCCCAAAGGUCCGCUCAGCCCGGUUGGCAAUCGGGUGGCGAGUGCAAGUGCACAAGCGGGCUUGACUGCGAGGACGACGGUCCGAGCAGGGACGAAAGUCGGGACUAGUGAUCCGGUGCCGGUGUACGGACGCGGCAUCGCUCAACGGAUAAAAGGUACCCCGGGGAUAACAGGCUGAUCAUUCCCAAGAGUCCAUAUCGACGGGAUGGUUUGGCACCUCGAUGUCGGCUCGUCGCAUCCUGGGGCUGGAGCAGGUCCCAAGGGUUCGGCUGUUCGCCGAUUAAAGCGGCACGCGAGCUGGGUUCAGAACGUCGUGAGACAGUUUGGUCUCUAUCCUCUGCGCUCGUUGGAAUGCUGAGGAGGCCUGCCCAUAGUACGAGAGGACCUGGGUGGACGAACCUCUGGUAUGCCGGUUGUCACGCCAGUGGCACGGCCGGUUGGCUACGUUCGGAAGGGAUAACCGCUGAAAGCAUCUAAGCGGGAAGCCUGCUCCAAGAUAAGCAUUCCGUGGAACCUUCGAGUUCCUGUAGUCCCCAUGCAGAACACGUGGUCGAUAGGCCGGACGUGGAAGCCCCGCGAGGGGUGGAGCCGACCGGUACUAACGGACGAAAGGCAACACUAA
This 869-nucleotide ribosomal RNA is filed under the name Bifidobacterium longum subsp. longum. Its description in RNAcentral is "partial 23S ribosomal RNA". It matches the Rfam family "Bacterial large subunit ribosomal RNA", at positions 2061 to 2925 of the family's 2925-position model. Lineage: Bacteria; Bacillati; Actinomycetota; Actinomycetes; Bifidobacteriales; Bifidobacteriaceae. The record is from RNAcentral.